ACUCCUACGGGAGGCAGCAGUAGGGAAUCUUCCACAAUGGACGAAAGUCUGAUGGAGCAACGCCGCGUGAACGAUGAAGGCCUCGGUCGUAAGUUCUGUUGUAAGGGAAGAACAAGUGCCGCAGGCAAUGGCGGCACCUUGACGGUACCUUGCGAGAAAGCCACGGCUAACUACGUGCCAGCAGCCGCGGUAAUACGUAGGUGGCAAGCGUUGUCCGGAAUUAUUGGGCGUAAAGCGCGCGCAGGCGGCCUCUUAAGUCUGAUGUGAAAGCCCCGGCUCAACCGGGGGAGGGCCAUUGGAAACUGGGAGGCUUGAGUAUAGGAGAGAAGAGUGGAAUUCCACGUGUAGCGGUGAAAUGCGUAGAGAUGUGGAGGAACACCAGUGGCGAAGGCGACUCUUUGGCCUAUAACUGACGCUGAGGCGCGAAAGCGUGGGGAGCAAACA
RNAcentral lists this ribosomal RNA (444 nucleotides) under uncultured bacterium. RNAcentral's name for it is "bacterial SSU rRNA". It matches the Rfam family "Bacterial small subunit ribosomal RNA", at positions 335 to 774 of the family's 1533-position model. The record is from RNAcentral.